This is a long non-coding RNA of Cyprinus carpio (common carp), 755 nucleotides long. RefSeq lists it as uncharacterized. The record is from RefSeq and is a predicted model, not a curated record. Lineage: Eukaryota; Metazoa; Chordata; Actinopteri; Cypriniformes; Cyprinidae. The transcript is spliced from 3 exons.
UGAAUGAAAGUGAAAGUAAUGAACAGAGUUGAUGUGGCCAUUUUAAACAGACAGAAUCGAUGAUCUACAACACAUUAUAUAUUUAAAUCUUUAAUAGAAUCGCUAAUAAAUGCUAAAGCAGGAGUUUGUGUGGAGUUACCGGAUGGGAAUGUGAAUCGAGUCAGUGGAGAUCAAACUGUUCAGAUCCAUCAUGGAUGAAACACAAACUUCUGGAGAUGAAGAUUUGUUUCCAGCACACAGUCUCAUUCAAACACUGGAGCGGAGGGAGUUGCCAUGGAAACGGAGCGCCAACACAACAACUGACAAGCCGGGAAUCACUGACUUUUGCUGCUGUUUUCACAGCUUUCGGUAAGUUUAGUCCCUAAAAUCACACAGAUAUUACAUUCAAGUGUUCCUGACAUUUCUCUUGCUUAUUUCGGACUCGCUUCUGUUGAGUUUACUUCAUAUAAAUGGUUAAUGUCUUCGAACCAGUCCGUUAGCAUCUUACCAGUUUUCAGAGGAGGUAACAUUAGGCUUACUCCAUAGAUGGAGCUCGUUAUUAAAGUUUGGGAUUCUUAUUACAUCUUUAUGUGUAGAUGAGAGCAUUUGAGAGGUCUGUGAAAGGUUUGCGGGAAUUUUUUAUUUAUUUAUUUAUUUAUUUAUUUUUAUGGGUGAUUGGAAAUUGGCUCAUUUAUUUAACCUCAAGUUAAACAUAUAAACUGUAACCGUUAAUCGGUGACGUCACUGACAUCAGUGUGACAAUAAACUGAAUCAUG